This 881-nucleotide long non-coding RNA is filed under the name Mytilus galloprovincialis (Mediterranean mussel). Lineage: Eukaryota; Metazoa; Mollusca; Bivalvia; Mytilida; Mytilidae. The record is from RNAcentral.
GAUGACAGGGUUUCCGCUGGCGGUCGCCAUUAUCGCAUUUUGCGAAAAAAUAAUAAUUGUGGCGAUUAAAAUUCGUCAUUGGCGAAAGAAUUUGGCGAAAGAAAUAUAUAAAACAAUUUAUUUUCAGCCAUCUUGUUUAUUUACUUUUUUCGGGUUUCUCUGACUUUACCGAUCAGACAAUACUCGGAAUUCACCUUGAACUCGUUAACAUUUUGACAGAAAAUCAAUAAUCAGCUGAUUGCAUUCAUAAAUCAUUCGUAGCUGUCGACAUCAAAGGACUAAUUAAUAAAGGUGUUGAUUGUUAUGAUAUAACAAAAUGAUAUGAUUAAAUGGCUUCUGUCAUUUGUCACAAAAGGGAACUAUUAACCACUUUGCGACGCACGUGUUUGAAGCAAAAAUUUUACGCUGCCUCUCCUUCUUUUAAUGAUAGUCCAGAAAAGAAAAUUGUUGUUAUGACGAAAAAUGUUCAAAAGCAAGAAAGGUCUCUGAUUUAAAACUUUAUCAUUUAACUUUCAGAUAGAUCAUUGAUUUGAGUGGGUACUCCAAAGUCGUUUCAGUGACACACGUGUUUCAAGCAUAUAGUUUUACUUAUUUACGAUGGUCUAGAAAAGAAAACUGUCGUUAUGAAGAAAUCUAUUCAAAAAGUUUGGCAUGAGAGUAACCCUUCAAUGUAAUGACUACACCUUACACGAGGGAUCAAUUCUUGCUUCGUUUUGUUGUAAAAACGACUUCUUAUUUAGGGGGGGGGCUGGAAAAAAGGAAAAUUUUAAAAGAAAAAUAUACUGUGUUACUUGGCGAAAAAAAUAAUAAAGUGGCGAAAAAUAUAUUGUUUUGGCGAAAGAGGUGGCGAAAAAAAUAAUUGACCCAGGGGAAACCCUGAG